Molecule: ribosomal RNA, 501 nt
Filed under: uncultured bacterium
Lineage: Bacteria
Description: partial 16S ribosomal RNA
Rfam family: Bacterial small subunit ribosomal RNA
Source: RNAcentral
AUUGAACGCUGGCGGCAGGCUUAACACAUGCAAGUCGAGCGGGGGAAGGUAGCUUGCUACCGGACCUAGCGGCGGACGGGUGAGUAAUGCUUAGGAAUCUGCCUAUUAGUGGGGGACGACAUCUCGAAAGGGAUGCUAAUACCGCAUACGUCCUACGGGAGAAAGCAGGGGAUCUUCGGACCUUGCGCUAAUAGAUGAGCCUAAGUCAGAUUAGCUAGUUGGUGGGGUAAAGGCCUACCAAGGCGACGAUCUGUAGCGGGUCUGAGAGGAUGAUCCGCCACACUGGGACUGAGACACGGCCCAGACUCCUACGGGAGGCAGCAGUGGGGAAUAUUGGACAAUGGGGGGAACCCUGAUCCAGCCAUGCCGCGUGUGUGAAGAAGGCCUUAUGGUUGUAAAGCACUUUAAGCGAGGAGGAGGCUACUUUAGUUAAUACCUAGAGAUAGUGGACGUUACUCGCAGAAUAAGCACCGGCUAACUCUGUGCCAGCAGCCGCAGUAA